RNAcentral lists this small nuclear RNA (107 nucleotides) under Phascolarctos cinereus (koala). Lineage: Eukaryota; Metazoa; Chordata; Mammalia; Diprotodontia; Phascolarctidae. The record is from RNAcentral.
GUGCUCCCUCCAGCAGCACAUGUACUAAAAUUGUGACAAUACAGAGAAGAUUAGCACGGCCCCUGAGCAAGGAUAAUACCCAAAUUCGUGAAGAGAGGUCAUCUAGC